RNAcentral lists this ribosomal RNA (1548 nucleotides) under Leclercia adecarboxylata. RNAcentral describes it as "bacterial SSU rRNA". It matches the Rfam family "Bacterial small subunit ribosomal RNA". Lineage: Bacteria; Pseudomonadati; Pseudomonadota; Gammaproteobacteria; Enterobacterales; Enterobacteriaceae. The record is from RNAcentral.
AAAUUGAAGAGUUUGAUCAUGGCUCAGAUUGAACGCUGGCGGCAGGCCUAACACAUGCAAGUCGAACGGUAGCACAGAGAGCUUGCUCUCGGGUGACGAGUGGCGGACGGGUGAGUAAUGUCUGGGAAACUGCCUGAUGGAGGGGGAUAACUACUGGAAACGGUAGCUAAUACCGCAUAACGUCGCAAGACCAAAGAGGGGGACCUUCGGGCCUCUUGCCAUCAGAUGUGCCCAGAUGGGAUUAGCUAGUAGGUGGGGUAACGGCUCACCUAGGCGACGAUCCCUAGCUGGUCUGAGAGGAUGACCAGCCACACUGGAACUGAGACACGGUCCAGACUCCUACGGGAGGCAGCAGUGGGGAAUAUUGCACAAUGGGCGCAAGCCUGAUGCAGCCAUGCCGCGUGUAUGAAGAAGGCCUUCGGGUUGUAAAGUACUUUCAGCGAGGAGGAAGGUGUUGAGGUUAAUAACCUCAGCAAUUGACGUUACUCGCAGAAGAAGCACCGGCUAACUCCGUGCCAGCAGCCGCGGUAAUACGGAGGGUGCAAGCGUUAAUCGGAAUUACUGGGCGUAAAGCGCACGCAGGCGGUCUGUCAAGUCGGAUGUGAAAUCCCCGGGCUCAACCUGGGAACUGCAUUCGAAACUGGCAGGCUAGAGUCUUGUAGAGGGGGGUAGAAUUCCAGGUGUAGCGGUGAAAUGCGUAGAGAUCUGGAGGAAUACCGGUGGCGAAGGCGGCCCCCUGGACAAAGACUGACGCUCAGGUGCGAAAGCGUGGGGAGCAAACAGGAUUAGAUACCGGUAGUCCACGCCGUAAACGAUGUCGACUUGGAGGUUGUGCCCUUGAGGCGUGGCUUCCGGAGCUAACGCGUUAAGUCGACCGCCUGGGGAGUACGGCCGCAAGGUUAAAACUCAAAUGAAUUGACGGGGGCCCGCACAAGCGGUGGAGCAUGUGGUUUAAUUCGAUGCAACGCGAAGAACCUUACCUACUCUUGACAUCCAGAGAACUUUCCAGAGAUGGAUUGGUGCCUUCGGGAACUCUGAGACAGGUGCUGCAUGGCUGUCGUCAGCUCGUGUUGUGAAAUGUUGGGUUAAGUCCCGCAACGAGCGCAACCCUUAUCCUUUGUUGCCAGCGGUUAGGCCGGGAACUCAAAGGAGACUGCCAGUGAUAAACUGGAGGAAGGUGGGGAUGACGUCAAGUCAUCAUGGCCCUUACGAGUAGGGCUACACACGUGCUACAAUGGCGCAUACAAAGAGAAGCGACCUCGCGAGAGCAAGCGGACCUCAUAAAGUGCGUCGUAGUCCGGAUUGGAGUCUGCAACUCGACUCCAUGAAGUCGGAAUCGCUAGUAAUCGUAGAUCAGAAUGCUACGGUGAAUACGUUCCCGGGCCUUGUACACACCGCCCGUCACACCAUGGGAGUGGGUUGCAAAAGAAGUAGGUAGCUUAACCUUCGGGAGGGCGCUUACCACUUUGUGAUUCAUGACUGGGGUGAAGUCGUAACAAGGUAACCGUAGGGGAACCUGCGGUUGGAUCACCUCCUUACCUUAAAGAA